AAUAUCCUUCAGAGGACGAGCUAAAGAAAACAGGAGCAGCCCCGCCCUUUUUUUCGCCAAAAGUUAAAAAUUGAGAAUUGUUUUCCUGCACACAUUUUAGUUGACCGCUCUCUUACUCUCUCUCUCUCAUCUGCAUCUCUUCCUCAUCGAAUGAAGCAGACAAAAUUUGAGCUCAGAUUCUUUAGCUCUGAGGAAAACAAAUUCACUCACCAUGGGUGAUUCUCUCUCCUUCUCGAUCUAUCUCUCACCUUUUCUUCUGGCCAGAUCUGUAUGCUUUGGUUCAUGAUUAUUCUCUCUCAAACACUCGUUUUCUCCCACAGCCCCUCUUUCCAUUUCUUACCUAUCUCAAUGUCACCCACCAAAUUGAGUUUCGAAGAACUUGGUGGCCACUGGGUUGACCUGGAUUCAGGGAUUAUUCGCUUUGGGUAUCUCAAUUCAGUCUCGUCUCUUGUCGAAUCCAAUUCAACUUGAUGCUUCAAAUUCAACAGCUGGGUUUCUCGUGUCGGGCUCGUCCGAGCGGCGUGUGGAAGCACUUGAUCGAAGCAGCAGUAGCAACAUGUCCCCCUCCACCUCUGUCGCCAAUUUGGUGAAUAUGUUAGAUGCGGGAUGAAGGAAAUAUUUUGACCAGGGCAGGCUUUACCCUUCCAGGGGCUGAUCGAUGUUGAUGAAUGAGAUAUCCAAGGGGUCAACAUUCCCUUUUUUGUGUUACAGUUUAGCCUCUAAUAGAAAUUUUGUUGCUUCUAAAUUUACUAGCAAAGGCUCCUUUGAUAUAGAAACUCUCGUCCCACAGUUCCUAUAUUCAUGCUUAUAUCUUUCUUUAAGUUUAACUGCAUUCUAUCACACGAGCAGUACAUAAAUCAAACUAAGUAUAGUAGCUUGAAGUAGAUUUUAAAGAUUUAACUCUCACUCUGAAAGGAAAAGACAAAAAUCUUUUGAGGAGUGUUACUGGAAAACUUUUUCCUGGUCGAGUUUCAGCAAUCAUGGGUCCUUCAGGAGCUGGGAAAACAAACAUUUCUUUCUGCAUUAUCAGGAAAAGUAACUGGAUGCACUGUGACAGGUUCAAUUCUAAUAAAUGGAAAAGCUGAACCAAUGACUGCCUACAAGAGAAUCAUUGGCUUUGUGCCUCAAGACGAUAUUGUGCAUGGAAACUUGACUGUGGAGGAGAAUCUCCGAUUUAGUGCAAGGUGCAGGAUUUUGGUUUGGGUACACUUGUGACUAUCUUGUGGAUUUUCUUAUUGCAGAGGCUGCAUCAUAUAGUAUUGCUGUUUUCAUGGACAUGUCAUUUUGGGAGACCCUUGAUUAGUUUUCCUCAGGUAUCUUUCAUUCCUUCCAAUAAUUUUGUUGACUUGAUUAGUUUAAACUUGAUACACUUAUUGAUAUGAUUAAAGUGAACCAAUCUGAGAACUACUUUGUAGUUCAGAUUCCCCCACAAAACUGUACAAUGCUUUUAUGGUUGCAGUAGAGAAAGGAAAUACACACUAGGCCAAUAACGUCAAUAUACAACACUUUUUACACAACGAAUUUUUUUUUUUUUGUUGUGUGAUGAAGGAAAGUGAAUCAUACAACACAUUUAAGAAACUUUCGUCGUAUAAGGCUGUUAAAAUUCAAAAGUUCUUAGUUAGAAACUCAUUGCACAAUACUUAUAAGAAAGGUCUGUUGUGUGAAUGGAAAAAAAAUAAGAGGCACAUUUCCCUCCUAUUUCUGCUCAAACUUCCCUCCUCUAUAGUACAACAGUCUAUUUGUAUCUGUUGUAUGAGUGUAGCUUGCAAAAUGUCAUACAACAGUUUUUUACUUUGUGUUGUCCAAAUGAGGAAGAUAUAUUGGGAAGGUUUAGAUGUAUCCCAGAAUGACAUUCAUUUCCCCCAAAGCGAACAAAUUUUGAUUGAAAUGUAGGUUACAUAUAUGUACUCCUACAACAUAAUUACUUAUUUGUGUUGUCUGAAUGAAAAACGCCUAUACCUAGCGCCAAAAAUGAUACUUUGAUUGCACAUAAGCGGGAAUUUUCCCUCUUUGCUCCCUCAGCUCAAUUUUAAUAUGUAGAUAAUCAGACAACAUAACUUGAUUUAUGUGUUGUCUGAGUCACGGACACAAAAUAAAAGAACCAAAUGCGCGCCUUUGACAAAUUAAUUAGGGCUAUCUAGCUACCUUCUCUAUUAUGAGAUUCUCUCACCCCCACUUAAGGCUGUUUCAACACUCCGAUAAAAACUCUCCCUUUUCUUCGUGCCAGCACCCAAACUCUCCCUCUUCAGAAUUUCAUUCGAGCCAAACAACCAUCACUCACCCAAUACUAAAAUCAGUCUCUUUGAAUCACCCAAUACUGAAAUCGGUCUCUUUGAAUCACCCAAUACUAAGGGGAAAUCUUGGAUUGGGAAUCCGGGUCUUCAAUUUCGAAACCCAAUUAGGUCAUUCUCUCUUUCUCGCUCGUCUUCUCCGGCACGACACCAACAACUUGUCUUCUUCCCUAUAACAAUCAUCAUUUCUCACUUCCUGUCUCACCUUCUUCACCUCUACAACACAACGGAGGAGAGAGAAAGCACGUAGAUGAGAAUGAAUUCGAGGAGAGAGAAAACAGAUCUGGGAUUUCUCUCUCCUCCAUUGCUAACGAUGCUGGGUAUGGGUAGAGCUCCUAGUGGCGGAACCUCUCUUUUCAAUCAUCAAGUUCUCUCUUGGCCUCACUGGUAACCUCUCUUUUCAAUCUGUUUAUUUUCGAAUCUUUAAAUCUGUAGGUUAUUCUCUGGUUUUAAAGAAAGUGAUUUAAAUGGUUAUUAGCAUCGCCGCAGUGGCAGUGGGAAAACGCCACCGCCUGAUUCGCCACCGUUGCCGCUAUGCAUCCCCUCCUGGGUUUGCUUGAUAUAUUGGAGGUAAAGUUAAAUCCGUGCUUCACCUCCUGGGUUUUUGAUGAUUUACUGCUUCAUAUUUCUUUCUGUUACAGGGACUGCGAGGAUCUAUGCCUCUAUGGAGGCUUCUCUCCUGCUGUGAUCGGUUCUACUCUAUGGAGGUUUAUAUUUCUUCAUGUUUGAGAGCCCCAGUGCUCUAGCUAUCGUAGUGGCUAAUCCAAUAGACCUUGUAAAGGUUCGACUCCAAGCUGAAUGAAAAUUGCCCAGCCCACUGGAGUUCCUAGGCAUUACUCUGGAGUAAAGAUGCCUAUUUCACUAUAGUGAGGCAUGAAGGUUUAGGAGCUCUAUGGACUGGGGUGGGACCAAAUGUAGGAUGAAGUGCAAUUAUAAAUGCUGCUGAGCUAGCCAUUUAUGAUUAAGUGAAGGAGACAGUUUUGAAAAUUCCAGGGUUCACUGACAAUAUUUUCACUCAUCUCCUAGCUGGUCUGGGUGCUGGUUUUUUUGCAGUUUCUAUUGGCUCUCCUGUUGAUGUGGUCUCUCUCUCAAAACUGACUAGCCUGGAAUUAAGGCCACAUGCUAUUGAGAGUUGUGAUCUGUCAAAAUAUCAGGUUUGGGAAUAUCUAGUGAAAUGUUGCCUAAAGAGUCACUAAGUGAUCAAGCAUGGAAUACCAAGCAAUGAAGCAAAAUAUAUUUUCUUUCAUCAUGUAAAUUCACCUAGCUAGGAAACUUUAUAGCAAUGACAUGUUACUUGGAUUCAAUAUUUGGUGGAUAUAUUGGAAUUUUAUUGAUGUAUCACAUUGCUUUUGGCGUAAAUAUUAAUCAUUAUUCAUUGGAUAAUGAUUUCAAGCA
Rosa rugosa (rugosa rose) is the source of this 3686-nucleotide long non-coding RNA. RefSeq lists it as uncharacterized. NCBI's taxonomy places the organism in Eukaryota, Viridiplantae, Streptophyta, Magnoliopsida, Rosales, Rosaceae. The transcript has 9 exons. The record is from RefSeq and is a predicted model, not a curated record.